This is a long non-coding RNA of Drosophila subpulchrella, 962 nucleotides long. RefSeq lists it as uncharacterized. Lineage: Eukaryota; Metazoa; Arthropoda; Insecta; Diptera; Drosophilidae. The record is from RefSeq and is a predicted model, not a curated record. The transcript is spliced from 3 exons.
UUGCGUAAAUUUGUUGGCAAUUUGUUUUCUGAUGAGCAUUAACUUUCGCCCCUAUCUGAAAUUGAAACUUCUCAUGUUGAAUGCGAGAUUGGUCUUACUGAAAAUAAAUAAAAUUAUAAGCUCAAGAAGCUUUUUUGUAUUUUACUAAUUAAAACUUUCAUAAAUAUUUGCAGUUUGACUGAAUGACAACAAUGAACUCAUUCCCGUGAGCAGCAAGCUAUUUAAGAUUGCUGGACAAAGUUAUUAAAUAACAAGGAUGGGGAUUUAAUUUAAAAAAAAAAGAUUAUCACAUCAUUUCUUCGUUAAGGAAUCCGAUUCCUAUUGAAAAGGUAAAUAUUAAUAUAAGCACUGUUCUUGAAACUUUUGUUCCGAAUUGAAAAAUUAUUUAUUUUGCUUUAAAACUAUUUUUAAAAUCUAAUAAUCUUGGUAAAAUGAUGAAAAGGAAAAGCUGAAUUAUGUGGCAUGAUUUUCACAUUAACCGCAACAAAAUCCUACUCCAAUAGGUCCUACUGACAAUUUCCACAAUAAAUAAUCCUUUUUGUCUAAAAAUAAUCCAACAAAUGACUAACAAUUGACCUUCUUUUGCAUUUUUAGUUCACGAAGCAUGUUAUUGAUAUAUUUACCAAGGUAAAUAUAAAAGCUCUUUUCAAAAGUUUCUAUUGAAAAUGAUGUAAAAAGAAAACUGAAUUAUGUGGCAUGAUUUUCACAUUAACCGCAACAAAUCCUACUCCAAUAGGUCCUACUGAACAUUUUCACAAGAAACAAAAUGUUAUUUUUCUCCGUGAACCAAUUCUAAUUCAAGUUUUCCUUACAUUUUCAGUUGCUGGCGUCAUCCCCAUUCAUCAUAUUAUGGCUUACUAGUUCUAUUGAAAACAUAUUUUUUCCAGGUACAGUACUGUCCAAAACACUGCUUUCUAUUUUUUUAUUUACUUUGAAGCGAAAAUAAAUGUAAAUAAAGAACA